AUGCGCAUGCAUGUAUGAAUUUGACUUCAUUGUGAACUGGUGUAUUGCGCAUGCGUGGGCCACUGGGCGUUGGCGCACCGUCACAAGUUGCUUGCCUGCCUGCCAAACUCAGGCCAGUGUUGCAUAUUGGUUCAUACUGGCUAUAACAACGGAACGGAAUAAUCGGCGUCGGAACCCGGUACUGUACACAAACAAUCUGCAAGCCGGACCAUGUCACAGAUGUUCUCUAUUUGUAUCUACACUGAUCCCGAUUCAAGAUCUAACACAUCACUUCUUGGCACGUAUAUUGCAAUCUGAGGAGAAAGUUCCUGAAAUCCGCCAGGUACAUGUCCGGAGAUCAGCCAAAGCAAAGACAAGGCCAGAGUCAAACAGGACGUUCCAUUGCCGCUAGCAGAAAUAGCAGAGUACGGGAUCAUGAACGUAUCUACUACAGUUACACUAACUGCUAGUGACGGCGAGACAUCUGCCUGGCCUAGGGGCGAUAUCUUUGCUCUUGUUUUCGGUCUUGUAGGAGCGGUGGGCGUAAUUGUGACAAUAGUGGUAUGUUAUCUCACUCAGUGCAGAAAAGGUCGAGGAAAUGGGCCACCAAUAUCAACACCGGAGGAGCGGGUAGGAUUAAACCCAG
Long non-coding RNA from Patiria miniata (bat star), 625 nucleotides. RefSeq lists it as uncharacterized. The record is from RefSeq and is a predicted model, not a curated record. NCBI's taxonomy places the organism in Eukaryota, Metazoa, Echinodermata, Asteroidea, Valvatida, Asterinidae. The transcript has 4 exons.